Non-coding RNA from Pelobates cultripes (western spadefoot toad), 723 nucleotides. The record is from the annotation of a GenBank genome assembly. Lineage: Eukaryota; Metazoa; Chordata; Amphibia; Anura; Pelobatidae.
CUUGUUAAUUGUCCUUUUGACAGUCACAAAAGUCCAAACUGAUCUACAGCCAAUAAGUUACUAUGAAAACGUCUAUAUUCCAGUCAAUAUUCCUGUAAAGUGAUCCUAGCUCACAAAUAGAACGCAGUUCAUUGACAUGCAGUGAUUUCAGCAAAGUCAAUUUACCGGCUCUUAACAGGCUCUGUUUAUUGACACAUGUUAGAAGAAGCCAUCAAAGCCACUACACAACCUUACAACGGUAAUAACAUAGGAAUAUGGUAGAUAAACCGUACACAUGGUAACACCUAGACUGCAUACAACAUUUUACAUGAAAGAAAUCAGCACAGAGUCAAAGUACACAUUUGAAUUAUUUUAAGGGUUUCUUAAAAAACGCCUUACUUAAGAGAGAGUUCUAGAACUCUCAGCUAUUCUUAACGGGCGACUCUAAGUACCAAGACCAUUCUUUGGAUCUAACUCGACUCCUGUGCUGAUAUUGCCACCACAGAAUCAUAUUUGAUGAUGGAUACAGAAGUGUAGUUUUUGCAUUAUCAAAGCGGCUGAAGAGUUUGGGAGCCACGGAGAGUUCUAAAACAGCUAAUGAGAUGACUAUUACACAUUUGCUUAAGUAUUUAUAAUCAGUUAUUCAAAUGUUAAUGCAAAUUUGCUGUUCAUAUACUCUUAGAGAUUAUUUUUCCAAAACUGAAUGGCCUAUGCGGCAAUUUAUACAUGCCGUUUCUGAUGCUU